This 74-nucleotide transfer RNA is filed under the name Candidatus Parvarchaeum acidophilus ARMAN-5. Its description in RNAcentral is "tRNA-Ile". Lineage: Archaea; Nanobdellati; Candidatus Parvarchaeota. The record is from RNAcentral.
UGCGGUUUUCAGGGAGUACGUUAAUGAAAACUGUAAAAAAAUUAAAUUUAUUCCUGAUUUAAAGCUGGUUAUUC